RNAcentral lists this ribosomal RNA (422 nucleotides) under uncultured microorganism. RNAcentral's name for it is "bacterial SSU rRNA". It matches the Rfam family "Bacterial small subunit ribosomal RNA", at positions 9 to 429 of the family's 1533-position model. The record is from RNAcentral.
GAGUUUGAUCUUGGCUCAGAUUGAACGCUGGCGGCAUGCCUUACACAUGCAAGUCGAACGGCAGCAUGAUCUAGCUUGCUAGAUUGAUGGCGAGUGGCGAACGGGUGAGUAAUACAUCGGAACGUGCCCUGUAGUGGGGGAUAACUAGUCGAAAGAUUAGCUAAUACCGCAUACGACCUGAGGGUGAAAGUGGGGGACCGCAAGGCCUCAUGCUAUAGGAGCGGCCGAUGUCUGAUUAGCUAGUUGGUGGGGUAAAGGCCCACCAAGGCGACGAUCAGUAGCUGGUCUGAGAGGACGAUCAGCCACACUGGGACUGAGACACGGCCCAGACUCCUACGGGAGGCAGCAGUGGGGAAUUUUGGACAAUGGGCGAAAGCCUGAUCCAGCAAUGCCGCGUGUGUGAAGAAGGCCUCGGUUGUAAG